This 262-nucleotide long non-coding RNA is filed under the name Lathyrus oleraceus (garden pea). RNAcentral's name for it is "Pisum sativum (pea) long non-coding RNA (PSAT_LNC035322)". The record is from RNAcentral. Lineage: Eukaryota; Viridiplantae; Streptophyta; Magnoliopsida; Fabales; Fabaceae.
UAAAACAUAUCAAGUCAUGAAAGGAUAUAUGAAAUAUAAAUAAAGUGAUCCAUAUCAAGUCAUGGAAGAAGAAUGCAAGCAAAUAACAAGUUAUCAAAUCAAAAUAAGCAACAACAUCACAUUCAAAUUAAGCAUCAAAGCAUAUGAUCAACAUGUAAAUUUGUAAAGUGAAAUGAAUACAAGUGUGGACAGUUUAGACGUAGCCAAUGACAUAUUAUAGAAUUUUUGAAAUCAGAUCAAAGCAUCAAUACAUAAAGAAAAC